GGAUUAGGCAUGCAAGUCGAACGAGAACCCAUUUCGGUGGGGGACAGUGGCGAAAGGGUGAGUAACGCAUAGACAACCAACCUCCGACUCCGGGAUAACUGAGAGAAAUCACAGCUAAUACCGGAUAGGCUCGAGUUGCCUCCUGGUGGCUCGAGUAAAGGGGCCUCUGAAUAUGCUUCCGGUUGGGGACGGGUCUAUGUCCUAUCAGCUAGUUGGUGAGGUUACGGCUCACCAAGGCGAUGACGGGUAGCCGACCUGAGAGGGUGACCGGCCACACUGGGACUGAGACACUGCCCAGACUCCUACGGGAGGCUGCAGUCGAGGAUCUUCCGCAAUGGGGGAAACCCUGACGGAGCGACGCCGCGUGCGGGAUGAAGGCCUUCGGGUUGUAAACCGCUGUCAAAGGUUAGGAAAGGAUUUGGGGUUAAUAGCGCCAGAUCUUGACAAAGGCCUGAGAGGAAGCCACGGCUAACUUCGUGCCAGCAGCCGCGGUAAGACGAAGGUGGCAACCGUUGUUCGGAAUCACUGGGCAUAAAGCGCACGUAGGCGGCGUCGUAAGUCGGGUGUGAAAUCCCUCGGCCCAACCGAGGAACUGCGCCCGAUACUGCGGCGCUUGAGGGCAGGAGGGGAGCACGGAAUUCCCGGUGGAGCGGUGAAAUGCGUUGAUAUCGGGAGGAACACCGGCGGCGAAGGCGGUGCUCUGGUCUGCUUCUGACGCUGAGGUGCGAAAGCCAGGGGAGCAAACGGGAUUAGAUACCCCGGUAGUCCUGGCCGUAAACGAUGGGCACUAAGUAGAGGGGUUUU
RNAcentral lists this ribosomal RNA (804 nucleotides) under uncultured Planctomycetota bacterium. Its description in RNAcentral is "bacterial SSU rRNA". It matches the Rfam family "Bacterial small subunit ribosomal RNA", at positions 46 to 832 of the family's 1533-position model. Lineage: Bacteria; Pseudomonadati; Planctomycetota. The record is from RNAcentral.